UUUUUAUAUUCAGUUCCUAUUUAAUUCACCUUUGUCGUGUUAACAUAACUGAUGCAAGAUGAAAUCCUGAAUCUCUAAAGAAAAGAGUAAAAUAGUAAUUAAAAAUAUUUAAACUUUUCUGGUAUUUAUAUACAUGUGUAAGAUAAAUUACAGAGAUAACUGAUAAAUAUUUGAUUGAACAAGUCAUUGUAGUAAUACUAUUACUAUUGUUAUCGGUAAAGUGUGGCCAACUCCUAAUAAAGUUUAUCUUGAUAAUUAAUGUUUAUGACACUUAGGAGCAAUUAGUGACACUGAUAGUUUUUGUUUUAAGCACUUUUAAUUUUAUCCUUCCUAAAAAUAGUUUAUUGUGUCAGACUAGAAACUACUUAACCAUUGUGUCUUUGCCAUCGUUUCUGCCUUUAGCAUUCUCUGCAAAUUCACUUAAAAGCUCGUGCUUGAGUCAUGAUUUGCAGAAGGUCCCCUGAACAACUUCUAGGUGAACCUCAGUUCUGUACUUGAAUAUCAAAAUUAAUGCUUUUUAGAUAAACAUUUUUUAUCAUUUAAUUUGG
RNAcentral lists this long non-coding RNA (548 nucleotides) under Bos taurus (domestic cattle). Its description in RNAcentral is "long non-coding RNA NONBTAT006003". Lineage: Eukaryota; Metazoa; Chordata; Mammalia; Artiodactyla; Bovidae. The record is from RNAcentral.